Molecule: ribosomal RNA, 474 nt
Filed under: Selenomonas sp. oral taxon 140
Lineage: Bacteria; Bacillati; Bacillota; Negativicutes; Selenomonadales; Selenomonadaceae
Description: bacterial SSU rRNA
Rfam family: Bacterial small subunit ribosomal RNA
Source: RNAcentral
GACGAACGCUGGCGGCGUGCUUAACACAUGCAAGUCGAACGGAGCGAAUGAAAGCUUGCUUUUAUAAGCUUAGUGGCAAACGGGUGAGUAACACGUAGGCAACCUGCCGACAGGAUGGGGACAACAUUCCGAAAGGAAUGCUAAUACCGAAUGAAGUCGAGGGAGGGCAUCCUCCUCCGAUGAAAGAUGGCCUCUAUAUAUAAGCUAUCACCUGUCGAUGGGCCUGCGUCUGAUUAGCUGGUAGGUGAGGUAACGGCUCACCUAGGCGACGAUCAGUAGCCGGUCUGAGAGGAUGAACGGCCACAUUGGGACUGAGACACGGCCCAGACUCCUACGGGAGGCAGCAGUGGGGAAUCUUCCGCAAUGGGCGCAAGCCUGACGGAGCAACGCCGCGUGAGUGAAGAAGGUCUUCGGAUCGUAAAGCUCUGUUGAUGGGGACGAACGUGCCUAAUGCGAAUAGUUUUAGGUAAUGAC